RNAcentral lists this ribosomal RNA (477 nucleotides) under uncultured Acholeplasma sp. Its description in RNAcentral is "bacterial SSU rRNA". It matches the Rfam family "Bacterial small subunit ribosomal RNA", at positions 901 to 1382 of the family's 1533-position model. The record is from RNAcentral. Lineage: Bacteria; Bacillati; Mycoplasmatota; Mollicutes; Acholeplasmatales; Acholeplasmataceae.
UUAAAGGAAUUGACGGGACCCCGCACAAGCGGUGGAUCAUGUUGUUUAAUUCGAUGAUACGCGAAGAACCUUACCAGGUCUUGACAUCCCCCCGCGAUGCUUUAGAGAUAAAGCGGAGGUAUUCGGGGAGACAGGUGGUGCAUGGUUGUCGUCAGCUCGUGUCGUGAGAUGUUGGGUUAAGUCCCGCAACGAGCGCAACCCCUAUUGCUAGUUACCAUCAUUAAGUUGGGGACUCUAGCGAGACUGCCAGUGAUAAACUGGAGGAAGGUGGGGAUGACGUCAAAUCAUCAUGCCCCUUAUGACCUGGGCUACAAACGUGAUACAAUGGCUGGAACAAAGGGAUGCGAAGCAGUGAUGUGGAGCGAAACCCAUAAAAACAGUCUCAGUUCGGAUUGAAGUCUGCAACUCGACUUCAUGAAGUCGGAAUCGCUAGUAAUCGCGGAUCAGAACGCCGCGGUGAAUACGUUCUCGGGGUUU